GAGGUCGUAGCGCAGAGGUCGUCGCGCCCGGCAUCAACCGGGAGGACGCCGGUUCGACUCCGGUCGGCCUCGCCA
This 75-nucleotide transfer RNA is filed under the name Actinoplanes campanulatus. RNAcentral's name for it is "tRNA-OTHER". It matches the Rfam family "tRNA". From Rfam's summary of the family: Transfer RNA (tRNA) molecules are approximately 80 nucleotides in length. Their secondary structure includes four short double-helical elements and three loops (D, anti-codon, and T loops). RNAcentral also lists the same sequence under 2 other names. The record is from RNAcentral. Lineage: Bacteria; Bacillati; Actinomycetota; Actinomycetes; Micromonosporales; Micromonosporaceae.